CAACCCUCAAGCCCCUCCGGGCGUGGCGUUGGGGAUCGGCCCCGCUCCGGCGGCCGGCCCCGAAAUGUAGUGGCGGUCUCGCCGCUGCCUCCUCUGCGUAGUAGAAACACCUCGCAUUGGGACGCGGCGGGCCCACGCCGUUAACCAGUUGAAUUUUCUUCAA
Molecule: unclassified non-coding RNA, 163 nt
Filed under: uncultured Volutella
Lineage: Eukaryota; Fungi; Ascomycota; Sordariomycetes; Hypocreales; Nectriaceae
Description: sequence contains ITS2
Source: RNAcentral